This 996-nucleotide long non-coding RNA is filed under the name Homo sapiens (human). RNAcentral describes it as "partial lncNR4A3". The record is from RNAcentral. Lineage: Eukaryota; Metazoa; Chordata; Mammalia; Primates; Hominidae.
CUGGCCGCGAAUUUCACAACACAGGUGGCUUCCUCACAGGAAGCUCCUCUGUAUACCACACCCUGUUGCUACUGAGUGGAGCAGCCAAAUUAAAUUAAGCUUGCAUUGCUCAAAAUUAAUUUUCCUAAGAGAAAUACAAAUACACCAAUAGAUUAGGGUAUUUUAUACAUUUUUAAUUUCAUUUUUGCUCUUCUUUUAUAGCCAGUGUGCACAUGUAAGAGUUAUGGAAUCACUUAGAGCAAUACUGAGCAUUUUCAUUUAUAUAAAACCCAAAUCAUUUGGGUGCAGAAGUUUGGAUGAUUGAAGCUCAGAGGGAAGGAGAAAAGCAUUUGAGAUGAAAACCAAAGAGUAAAUUUGAGUUUGGCAAAAGAACAGAUUGCACUUUUGGUUUGUACCACCUCUUUACAAAUUUGUUAAAGGAAUACUAGGUGCCAAGCCUGUGUGGGCACCAUAGAUAAUGCAGAUAAAUAGAAUACAAUCCCAGCAAGCUCAUCUUCUAGCUAGAAACCUCAGAAAGACACAAAUAAGAGCAGUAAAAAGGGAUUGGCCGGAAAGAAUGACAGAAAAGAGUAAUGGAGAAAUCCUAGAGGUGCUGAAGGGAGAAGGAGAAUAGAUCAAAGAUCAGGCAGUGUUCUUUCUUUUAAAUGAUUAGCCUUUCAUUUCAUCCCAACAACUGGACAGCAAGAUAAGUAACUGGACUUCAAACUAGUGAGUGUAUUUUUAAGGCCCUGCUUGUUAAAGAAAGGCUUGAACUGGCCUCUCCUCAUCACUGCUUCUUCCAACAGGCCCUCAUCACCUUUUUUCAAGUCAAGAUUUCAUCCCAUACAUGCAUGACUCAAUCAGAUUUGGAAAUGUGGGUAAGAGAAAGAUGUCAAAGGAAAUGUGAAGUAUUCACUUCUCUAUUAGUCACACCUUUUACACCAUAGACUCCAAAGAGGCGUUAAGCACCUGGUUUUCCUUUGGCUCAGAAAAACCAACCACCAAAAACCGCCGUUU